GUAGCUUAAUACAAAGCAUAGCACUGAAGAUGCUAAGAUGAGUCCUAAAAAACUCCGCAUGCACAAAGGCGUGGUCCCGACCUUAUUAUCAGCUCUAACUCAACUUACACAUGCAAGUCUCCGCAAUCCAGUGAGUAUGCCCUCAAUCCCCCGCCCGGGGACGAGGAGCGGGCAUCAGGCACAAACACUUAGCCCAAGACGCCUGGCCUAGCCACACCCCCAAGGGAAUUCAGCAGUGAUAAACAUUAAGCCAUAAGUGAAAACUUGACUCAGUUAGUGUUAAAAGGGCCGGUAAAACUCGUGCCAGCCACCGCGGUUAGACGAGAGGCCCUAGUUGAUAAUGCAACGGCGUAAAGGGUGGUUAAGGAUAGACAAAAAUAAAGCCAAAUGGCCCUUUGGCCGUCAUACGCUCCUAGGUGUCCGAAGCCCCAACACGAAAGUAGCUUUAACAACCCCACCUGACCCCACGAAAGCUGAGAAACAAACUGGGAUUAGAUACCCCACUAUGCUCAGCCGUAAACUUAGACAUCCAACUACAAUUAGAUGUCCGCCAGGGUACUACGAGCAUUAGCUUAAAACCCAAAGGACCUGACGGUGUCUCAGACCCCCCUAGAGGAGCCUGUUCUAGAACCGAUAACCCCCGUUAAACCUCACCACUCCUAGCCACCCCAGCCUAUAUACCGCCGUCGUCAGCUUACCCUGUGAAGGUAAUAAAAGUAAGCAAAAUGGGCACAACCCAGAACGUCAGGUCGAGGUGUAGCGCAUGAAGUGGAAAGAAAUGGGCUACAUUUUCUAUCACAGAAUAUUACGAACAUGCAUCAUGAAACAAUGCUUGAAGGAGGAUUUAGUAGUAAAAAGGAAAUAGAGUGUCCCUUUGAACCCGGCUCUGAGACGCGUACACACCGCCCGUCACUCUCCCCUGUCAAAACGCAUUAAAAAUAUUUAAUAAACUAGCACUGACAAGGGGAGGCAAGUCGUAACACGGUAAGUGUACCGGAAGGUGCACUUGGAUCAAACC
Molecule: non-coding RNA, 1018 nt
Filed under: Bangana decora
Lineage: Eukaryota; Metazoa; Chordata; Actinopteri; Cypriniformes; Cyprinidae
Description: 12S ribosomal RNA
Rfam family: Bacterial small subunit ribosomal RNA
Source: RNAcentral